UCAAGUUAUUAAGGGUGCAGGGCGAAUGCCUUGGCACUAGGAGCCGAUGAAGGACGUGAUAAGCUGCGAUAAGCUUCGGGGAGUUGCACGUAAACUUUGAUCCGAAGAUUUCCGAAUGAGGAAACUCACUUAGAGUAAUGUCUAAGUAUCGUAUGAUGAAUACAUAGUCAUGCGAGGGGAACCCGGAGAACUGAAACAUCUAAGUACCCGGAGGAAGAGAAAGAAAUUCGAUUCCGUAAGUAGCGGCGAGCGAACGCGGAACAGGCCAAACCAGUGAAGUUUUCUUCGCUGGGGUUGCGGACAUAUCAUAACGAAGAGGUAUCGUAGAAGAAGAGAGUUGGAAAGCUCCGCCAUAGAUGGUAACAGCCCAGUAUUUUAAACGAGAAGACUUUAGAUAUGAUCCAGAGUACCACGGGACACGUGAAACCCUGUGGGAAGCAGGAGGGACCAUCCUCCAAGCCUAAAUACUACCUAGUGACCGAUAGCGUAUAGUACCGUGAGGGAAAGGUGAAAAGAACCCCGGGAGGGGAGUGAAAGAGAACCUGAAACCCUGCACUUACAAGCUGUAGGAGCACAUUAUUUGUGUGACUGCGUACUUUUUGUAGAACGGGCCAACGAGUUACGUUGUGUAGCAAGGUUAAGCACUUAAGGUGUGGAGCCGUAGCGAAAGCGAGUCUUAAAUGGGCGUCCAGUUACCCGACGUAGACCCGAAACCAGGCGACCUAUCCAUGAGCAGGUUGAAGCGAAAGUAAAAUUUCGUGGAGGACCGAACCCACGUACGUUGAAAAGUGCGGGGAUGACUUGUGGAUAGCGGUGAAAUUCCAAUCGAGCCUGGAGAUAGCUGGUUCUCCCCGAAAUAGCUUUAGGGCUAGCCUCAAGCUUAGAGAAACGGAGGUAGAGCACUGAAUGUCCUAGGGGGUAUUGCACUUACCGAAGACUAUCAAACUCCGAAUGCCGUAUUCUUUUGCUUGGGAGUCAGACUAUGGGUGAUAAGAUUCAUAGUCAAGAGGGCAACAGCCCAGAUCGUCAGCUAAGGUCCCUAAAUGUAAGUUAAGUGGUAAAGGAUGUGGAAUUGCACAGACAACCAGGAUGUUGGCUUAGAAGCAGCCACUCAUUUAAAGAGUGCGUAAUAGCUCACUGGUCGAGUGAUUCUGCGCCGAAAAUUUCCGGGGCUAAAACUUACUACCGAAGCUACGGCAUCAUUAUGAUGGGUAGGGGAGCUUUCUAUGUGGCUUGAAGCAUGACCGUAAGGACAUGUGGACUGCAUAGAAGUGAGAAUGUUGGCAUGAGUAGCGAGAUGUGGGUGAGAAUCCCACAGGCCGUAAACCCAAGGUUUCCAGGGGAAGGUUCGUCCGCCCUGGGUUAGUCAGGACCUAAGCCGAGGCCGAAAGGCGUAGGUGAUGGACAACAGGUUGAUAUUCCUGUACCACCAAUAACCGUUUGAGAAAUGGGAUGACACAGUAGGAUAAGCUAACCGCACUGUUGGUUAUGUGCGGGCAAGUAUUGAGGCAGUUCCGAUAGGCAAAUCCGUCGGAAUAAUGCUGGGGUACGAUGCGGAGCGAAAUUAAGUAGCGAAGUAGCUGAUUUCACACUGUCGAGAAAAGUCUCUAUCGAGGUUAAAGGUGCCUGUACCGCAAACCGACACAGGUGGGUGAGGAGAGUAUCCUAAGGCCAGCGAGAGAACUGUUGUUAAGGAACUCGGCAAAAUGACCCCGUAACUUAGGGAGAAGGGGUGCCUUCGAAAGAAGGCCGCAGAGAAUAGGCCCAAGCGACUGUUUACCAAAAACAUAGGUUUCUGCUAAGUCGCAAGACGAUGUAUAGGAGCUGACGCCUGCCCGGUGCUGGAAGGUUAAGGGGAUCUGUUAGAGCAAUCGAAGCAGUGAACUUAAGCCCCAGUAAACGGCGGCCGUAACUAUAACGGUCCUAAGGUAGCGAAAUUCCUUGUCGGGUAAGUUCCGACCC
This 1962-nucleotide ribosomal RNA is filed under the name human gut metagenome. RNAcentral's name for it is "bacterial LSU rRNA". It matches the Rfam family "Bacterial large subunit ribosomal RNA", at positions 3 to 1989 of the family's 2925-position model. The record is from RNAcentral.